UACGAAGGGGGCUAGCGUUGCUCGGAAUUACUGGGCGUAAAGGGCGCGUAGGCGGCUCUGUUAGUCAGGCGUGAAAGCCCUGGGCUCAACCUGGGGACUGCGCUUGAUACGGCGGGGCUUGAGGGCAGGAGAGGCUCGCGGAAUUCCCAGUGUAGAGGUGAAAUUCGUAGAUAUUGGGAAGAACACCGGUGGCGAAGGCGGCGAGCUGGCCUGUUACUGACGCUGAGGCGCGACAGCGUGGGGAGCGAACAGG
This 253-nucleotide ribosomal RNA is filed under the name uncultured bacterium. RNAcentral's name for it is "partial 16S ribosomal RNA". It matches the Rfam family "Bacterial small subunit ribosomal RNA", at positions 524 to 776 of the family's 1533-position model. The record is from RNAcentral.